AGAGUUUGAUCCUGGCUCAGGAUGAACGCUGGCGGCGUGCUUAACACAUGCAAGUCGAACGAUCCUUCGGGAUAGUGGCGGACGGGUGAGUAACGCGUGGGAAUCUGCCCUCAGGAGGGGGAUAACGGCUGGAAACGGCCGCUAAUACCCCAUAUGCCGAGAGGUGAAAUGAAUUUCGCCUGAGGAUGAGCCCGCGUCUGAUUAGCUAGUUGGUGGGGUAAUGGCCUACCAAGGCAACGAUCAGUAGCUGGUCUGAGAGGAUGAUCAGCCACACUGGGACUGAGACACGGCCCAGACUCCUACGGGAGGCAGCAUUGGGGAAUUUUCCGCAAUGGGCGAAAGCCUGACGGAGCAACGCCGCGUGAGGGAUGAAGGCCUCUGGGCUGUAAACCUCUUUUCUCAAGGAAGAAGACCUGACGGUACUUGAGGAAUAAGCCACGGCUAAUUCCGUGCCAGCAGCCGCGGUAAUACGGGAGUGGCAAGCGUUAUCCGGAAUUAUUGGGCGUAAAGCGUCCGCAGGCGGCCUUGUAAGUCUGUUGUUAAAGCGUGGAGCUCAACUCCAUUUAAGCAAUGGAAACUACAAGGCUGGAGUGUGGUAGGGGCAGAGGGAAUUCCCGGUGUAGCGGUGAAAUGCGUAGAUAUCGGGAAGAACACCAGUGGCGAAGGCGCUCUGCUGGGCCAUAACUGACGCUCAUGGACGAAAGCCAGGGGAGCGAAAGGGAUUAGAUACCCCUGUAGUCCUGGCCGUAAACGAUGAACACUAGGUGUCGGGGGAAUCGACCCCCUCGGUGUCGUAGCCAACGCGUUAAGUGUUCCGCCUGGGGAGUACGCACGCAAGUGUGAAACUCAAAGGAAUUGACGGGGGCCCGCACAAGCGGUGGAGUAUGUGGUUUAAUUCGAUGCAACGCGAAGAACCUUACCAGGGUUUGACAUCCUGCGAACCCCUGAGAAAUCGGGGGGUGCCUUCGGGAGCGCAGAGACAGGUGGUGCAUGGCUGUCGUCAGCUCGUGUCGUGAGAUGUUGGGUUAAGUCCCGCAACGAGCGCAACCCACGUCUUUAGUUGCCAGCAUUCAGUUGGGCACUCUAGAGAGACCGCCGGUGAUAAACCGGAGGAAGGUGUGGAUGACGUCAAGUCAUCACGCCCCUUACAUCCUGGGCUACACACGUACUACAAUGCUACGGACAAAGGGCAGCAAGCUCGCGAGAGUUAGCAAAUCCCAUAAACCGUGGCUCAGUUCAGAUCGUAGGCUGCAACUCGCCUACGUGAAGGAGGAAUCGCUAGUAAUCGCAGGUCAGCAUACUGCGGUGAAUACGUUCCCGGGCC
This 1324-nucleotide ribosomal RNA is filed under the name metagenome. RNAcentral's name for it is "bacterial SSU rRNA". It matches the Rfam family "Bacterial small subunit ribosomal RNA", at positions 8 to 1380 of the family's 1533-position model. The record is from RNAcentral.